CGUUGAACCAGUAUAUAAACCAUUCUAUACUAUUAAUGCGGAUAUAAAUCAAAGUUUCGAUCGCUAAAUAGCCAUCAAGCAACUAUUUCAAGAUGAAUUUCAAUUUCUUCAAAAUCGCUUUCACCACUGGAAUUUUUAUUUUAUUUUUGCUUUCAGAAGUAAACGGAGGAGGACCUUAUGGGGGAUUAGUAGAGACAGAAGAGGAGUUGGAAGGCAUGGAAGAAGUUUUUGCUGGAUAAGCAUCUGACACCAUGACAUUCAAGAAAAGAUAUCUGUUUAAAUCAAGGAACUAACAUUGUGUUUAAGAUAUUAAAUAUACGAUUUUGCAUA
This is a long non-coding RNA of Parasteatoda tepidariorum (common house spider), 330 nucleotides long. RefSeq lists it as uncharacterized. The record is from RefSeq and is a predicted model, not a curated record. Lineage: Eukaryota; Metazoa; Arthropoda; Arachnida; Araneae; Theridiidae.